GGUGUUGUGCCAGAGAAAUUGGGUUACUUUGAUGAGGUAAAAUAUGGGAGCUUUCCCCAAUACCU
This 65-nucleotide transfer RNA is filed under the name Paratapes undulatus (undulate venus clam). RNAcentral's name for it is "tRNA-Ile". Lineage: Eukaryota; Metazoa; Mollusca; Bivalvia; Venerida; Veneridae. The record is from RNAcentral.